RNAcentral lists this transfer RNA (65 nucleotides) under Apocephalus antennatus. RNAcentral's name for it is "tRNA-Gly". It matches the Rfam family "tRNA". From Rfam's summary of the family: Transfer RNA (tRNA) molecules are approximately 80 nucleotides in length. Their secondary structure includes four short double-helical elements and three loops (D, anti-codon, and T loops). Further hydrogen bonds mediate the characteristic L-shaped molecular structure. tRNAs have two regions of fundamental functional importance: the anti-codon, which is responsible for specific mRNA codon recognition, and the 3' end, to which the tRNAs corresponding amino acid is attached (by aminoacyl-tRNA synthetases). tRNAs cope with the degeneracy of the genetic code in two manners: having more than one tRNA (with a specific anti-codon) for a particular amino acid; and 'wobble' base-pairing, i.e. permitting non-standard base-pairing at the 3rd anti-codon position. The record is from RNAcentral. Lineage: Eukaryota; Metazoa; Arthropoda; Insecta; Diptera; Phoridae.
AUUCGUAUAGUAUAAAAGUAUAUUUGACUUCCAAUCAAAAGGCCUAUUCUAUCAUAGUAUGAAUA